This is a non-coding RNA of Acanthosepion pharaonis, 113 nucleotides long. NCBI's taxonomy places the organism in Eukaryota, Metazoa, Mollusca, Cephalopoda, Sepiida, Sepiidae. The record is from the annotation of a GenBank genome assembly.
UUACGAUCAUAUCACGUUGAAACAUCGAUCCCAGUACGAUCGCUGAAGUUAAGCAACGUUGAGCCUGGUCAGUACCUAGAUGGGUGACCGUUUGGGAAUACCAGUUGCUGUAA